RNAcentral lists this long non-coding RNA (772 nucleotides) under Solanum tuberosum (potato). RNAcentral's name for it is "long non-coding RNA (STUB_LNC001580)". The record is from RNAcentral. Lineage: Eukaryota; Viridiplantae; Streptophyta; Magnoliopsida; Solanales; Solanaceae.
AUUCACCCAUAAUUUGCCCAUAAGGCCACAAUCCUCAAUUCAUCCAUAUACCAACAAUUCAUCAUAAAUAGAUAUACAAAACCAUAUAAAUCAACAAUACAAUCCAAUCUAAACACAAUUUCAUCAACAUUAAAUCAUAGGCAUUAAACCCACUUCAUAAGCAAAUUCUAGAGUUUUAAUGAAAACUUGGGUUCUUGAAGAAAUUUCAUAUCAAAUCAUCUUAAAAUCAUAAAUAGAACUUCAAUUCACCAAUAUAAUGACUUUGAAAACAUUUUACCCAUGAACCCAUACCUAGAAUAGAAAAUAGAAGUUUUGUUCUUUGAAAACCUUUGAAACCCUUUUUAAUGGACUCCUUGAAGGAAAGAUAAUCAAGGAUCAAGGGUCACCAUACCUUUGCUAAGAUUCCCCACGAAAAUUGAUGAAGACACCACCUUAAAACCAAGCCCUAGUUCCAAGUUCUUGACCUUCUUAAAUGGAGAAUUCUAGAGAGGGAAAUGUUUUAGAGAUGGGAAUUGAACUAAUGGUAUAUAGGAAAUAACAUAUGCCCUUUGGAAAAUUCGUCCAACACUUAGAAAAAAAAGAGGCGGGUGAACAGUAAAAAUGGUUACUGGAAAUUGUCUUUCCUGCCGAACAGAAUUUACGAAAAUGGGCAUAACUUCUUCGUCCGAACUCCGAAUGAGGUGAAACGAAGUGCGUUAGGUAGCUAACUCAAAGGGCUUUCCAUGGAUAUAUUAUUGGCCACCCAAAUAAUUUGUGUGCUAGGAGAUAUGAC